Piliocolobus tephrosceles (Ugandan red Colobus) is the source of this 509-nucleotide long non-coding RNA. RefSeq lists it as uncharacterized. The record is from RefSeq and is a predicted model, not a curated record. The transcript has 2 exons. Lineage: Eukaryota; Metazoa; Chordata; Mammalia; Primates; Cercopithecidae.
CCUUCUCUCCUUCUUUCUUUCCUUCCCCUUCCUUGCUUCUCUGUGUUCCUUGCUGGAGACGGCUGUGAACUCUCAAUUGCUGGGGACCAGAGCUUCAGUGGACCUCACUCCAGCACGUGCUCCACCCACACGCGUGGGCCUGCCUUCACCGGGAUGCAUAAGGCUUCCAAGGGAAACCGCCGAGAUUCCUUGGGACCAGCAAUGUGAUGCAGUGAGGCUGUGGGAGUGAAGAGGAAGCAGCAGCGCCGGCCGACAGGGUGUCUGCUGAGAUUCUGUUUCCUCCAGGUGGCCCUGGGAAGGGGUGGAAGCUGCCCUCACCCAGAGAGCCCAGUGGAACAGCCACUGGUGACCUCCAACCCUAAGGCUCCAGAGUGAUUCCCAGCUUCUACCACUUCACUACUGCCGCACUCCCCUCCUUCCCCGCUCUCUUCCUGCACCUGUUAUGGUUUGAAUUGUGUGCCCCAUCCCCAAAAUAGAGAUAUGUUGAAAUAGAGAAGCUCUUACCCCAA